GUUGAUUACGUCCCUGCCCUUUGUACACACCGCCCGUCGCUACUACCGAUUGAAUGGCUCAGUGAGGCGUCCGGACUGGCCCAGAGAGGUGGGCAACUACCACUCAGGGCCGGAAAGCUCUCCAAACUCGGUCAUUUAGAGGAAGUAAAAGUCGUAACAAGG
Molecule: ribosomal RNA, 162 nt
Filed under: Trichoderma reesei
Lineage: Eukaryota; Fungi; Ascomycota; Sordariomycetes; Hypocreales; Hypocreaceae
Description: partial small subunit ribosomal RNA
Rfam family: Eukaryotic small subunit ribosomal RNA
Source: RNAcentral